Myodes glareolus (Bank vole) is the source of this 3273-nucleotide non-coding RNA. Lineage: Eukaryota; Metazoa; Chordata; Mammalia; Rodentia; Cricetidae. The record is from RefSeq and is a predicted model, not a curated record.
UGUCUCGAGAAGAAAAAAUAAAUAAAUAAAUAAAUAAACAAACAAACUAGGUUUGUGUUUUGGCUGGAUCAUUCAUUGAACCUCUCUGAAUGACUCCAUAAAAUAGAGUAAUCCCCACCUUGCAACCUCUGGAGUGAUUGUGAGAUCUAUACAUACAUGCCCAAGCAUUUUGUGCACAGAAGACUUUUGUGAGCAUUAUUGUUAUUCUUGGGGAAGCCCCACUUUGGAAUUUGUCAAAGGAUGAGACCGCAGGCUUGACUGCUUACAGGAUAGUAGUACUGACAAAAUGUUAUCAGAUUUUUUUGCCUUCUUUGGUUAAAGAACUCCUGUGUCCUGCUACUCUAAGUGAACAAAGAAAAGGUACUUCAACGUCAGGGAGCAAAGCAGAGAAUGUCCAUCUUGCAUUUUUAAAUCCUGGAUGACCACAGCAUCUUAUGUAGAUAGCCACAGUGAUGCUCAGAGGUAAUCCAGGCUAUGCGUGGAAGUGGGGGAAGUAGUUUUCAGACCCCUCUAUCCUUUUAACUUUGGGGUUAGGGUCAGGUAUACUACCUGUGAAACCUGUCAGUCAUCCAAAAAGAAAACUAACUCUGAGAAAGCUUAGUUCAAUCUGCAACCAUGACAUAUUUACUCCAGUAAACCCACUGCUCCUGCUCUUCAGACACCUCUCUUACAGAGAUCAUUCCUGGAACCAAAGGUAUCCUGUUUUCUAGCCCGGUAAGUUUAAAACAGCAACAGAUCAUAAACACCAAGCUCAGUGUCUAUGUGUGACUUCAGAGCAGUCACAGGAGGCUGGCCAGUCAGGACACAGAGGAUGCACUCCUCCCUCUCCUCCGUGCAAACCAGGUUUGAGAAGUUGCACCGCCUCAGCCGCUCUGCUUGGGUGGUAAUUCUCCACCCUUGAUCUCUUUUCUCCGUGCCCUUUCUGUGUCCUUCCUCCACCACCUCCCGGGAGAGUACCAAUUCCCAAAACAAACAUUGCAUUGCAUGUUGAUAAUGUAGUUUUGAAACAUUCCUUGCUUGUAGCUGACCCUGUUGUUGGUAUGAUUUUGGGGGGAUCUAGAUGCUGGUUUUUAAUUGUUGGAGAGAUGAGACUAUUGUAAUUCCCACACAACCUGAGAAAAGCUGUGUGAACUCGUUUUGCGUGCACCUUCUGCGUGUGCGUAUGUAUAUAUGUGUCCUCAUGGUUGUGCUCAGGCUGACAGGAAGGGCAAAGAGUAAAAAGGAAACGCGUCUUUCUUAUUUUCCAGCAUUGCUUCAAAGAUGCCCAACCCCCGCAGUACAGGCAGUUCCCAAGCGGAAGGUGGGGGCAGAGGCCUCCAGUAAGGCCAUCAAUAACCAGGUUGGCAUGGAGCUCACAGUGUAACAAAGCCUGAUCACAGACACAGCAGUUUUCCUGCAUCAGCCUCCCAGAGUGUCAGGAUUACAGGUGUGAGCUAUCACCCCAGCUCUUCUAGUUAAAAGAAACUGGCUGCAGGCUGUGCAGCUGAGGAUCUUCAGUCACGUGCCUUCCCCCAAAGAUCCUAUUAUCCCUAAAAGAUAGAAACAGUAUCUUUUAAGUUCACUUUAUAUCCAAAUAGCACUUACUGAAAUGCACUGUACUAAAUGUUUAUCAAAAGAUAAAAGAAAUGAGGACCAACAGGAGGGAAAGGGAAAGGGGGAGAGGUUAAGAUAUUGCUGGUGGAGGACAGACUUCUACCAUUGAGAAUAGGUGGAGACACUGCUGGUGGAGGACACACUUCUACCAUGGAGAAUAGGUGGGAGGGUGCCUUCAGAACGGAUGAGGGCGGAGCAGAGCUAUGUGGAACCCCAGCACCAAGAAAAGUUCUUGUUUUUUUGCUUGUUCCAAAUAAAUCAGUUUCUGUUUGUAUAGUGUAGAAUCAACGCCAGUUGUCUAAAGCCAAUUGGAAUGCAGAGACAAGCUAAGUUCUAAGGAAAAAUUAAUUGCUUGGCCAUCAUUCCUUCUUGGGGCCACACAGCUUCUGUAGCAGGGCUCAGAUAGACAUCUUUUAUCUCAUAUAAACACCUCACUUUACAAACUUCUCACUCCCUGAACAGCUAUUUCUCUCUCAACCAUUUAUAAGUGGUUGUGUAUCUUUAUCAGCUAGAAUUGGGAGUGCGGGGAGAAACAUGGAGUGAUAUGAACUAUCACAGAGGACUACCACUUCUUUCCAUAAACUAAGAACCCCGAGUCAAAGGGUAGGUGAUACAGCACAAGUAGAUUGAACUUAGGCUGGGUUCCUGUAGAAGGCCUAUGCCAUCACUGAUGUAGUAACUUGCAUGUCUUCACCCCUGCUCCCAAAGCUUCCCCCCUUUUAAGAGAAGUUCCUCUUCCCCUCCCAUUCCCCCUCCCUAAUCCCACCACCAGCUCAUCAGUUAUCCGGUUGACUCUACUCUGCAAGGACGACAUUCUCUCUGCCUGACUCAUUCAGUCCCAUUUCUUCACAGCCAUCCCCUCACCACAGACCACAAGGGCCCUGACCAGCUCAUGUUUUGUGUUAAUGGAUGUGAAACCGGAGCAAAUCCCCUCACCAAAAGAAAAACCACCCUAAACUCUCCCACACAGGUCUCAGCAGGUUACACAAAUAUUAGUCCUAUCAUCCAAAUAAAUCUGCCUCCGUGGCCAGAGUCACCCCCCGCCCCCCACAACCUCCUGCUGCCUGGGCAGAAUGAAGUUGCUCCACAAACAUCUGAGAGCCCGACUGGAUAAAGAGGGACCGGAGGGAAAGAGCAAGGCCCUAUAUCCAGAAUUCCCUGCGAAAGCUCCUUAAUCUCCAGUCUGUUGUCAAGACCAGACAGCCCUAAAUUAGAAGUUCCUAGAGAAGUUAGGAUGUACUUGAUCAGUCAGAGGUUUGAUGAAGUAUAUCUGUUGGCUGUUAAAUCUCAAUAUCUGAGCGAGGCAUGCAUCCUCAUUUUACAGAUAAAAAAACGGGCCCGGAGGAUUGAAAGAGCCUGCUGAAAAUAAAAAACACAGUGAGUGCGUAAAUAACUGGCAUCGAACCUCGGUCCGUCAGACUGCAGAUUUCUAUAAUAUUGCUGUUUAUCAGUAGGCAAGAUGAUCACUGUGUAGUCAUACAAAACUAGGCCAUCAAGAUUUCAAAGCCCAUAUCCAUAUUCUAGCUUUCCAUGCCUGCUGUCUUUGAAGAUUCCACUACUGCAUACUCUAGUUAGACUAGUAGCAUAGAGGGAACCUCCCCUGCUUAAGUCCAUCAUGGAUGGGCAGUAGUUAUCAGUAGGACUUGAAGAAUCACAAAAUAAAGACUUGCUGAGUAAAUA